This 1230-nucleotide ribosomal RNA is filed under the name Triticum aestivum (bread wheat). Its description in RNAcentral is "partial small subunit ribosomal RNA". Lineage: Eukaryota; Viridiplantae; Streptophyta; Magnoliopsida; Poales; Poaceae. The record is from RNAcentral.
AUGCCGACUCCGUCGAAGCUGAACAAGGACCCGCACAACCACUACUUCGACUUGGGGGCGGCGCGGCAGGUGCCGGAGACGCACGCGUGGGAGGGGCUGCACGAGCACCCGGUGGUGGACGGCGGCGUUGGGGCUGGGGAGGACGCCGUGCCGGUGGUGGACAUGCAGGAUCCGCACGCGGCAGAGGCGGUGGCGCGUGCAUCGGAGCAAUGGGGAGCGUUCCUGCUCCAGGGCCACGGCGUGCCGAGAGAGCUGCUGGCGCGCGUCGAGGCCGGGAUCGCCGGCAUGUUUGCGCUGCCGAAGACGGACAAGAUGCGCGCCGCGCGCCAGGGCGGUGACCCCUACGGCUACGGGCUGCCGCACAUCGCGCUCUACUUCUCCAAGACCAUGUGGUCCGAGGGCUACUCCUUGAGCCCGACCAACCUCCGCCCCGAACUCCGCAAGAUCUGGCCCGACGCCGGCCACGACUACAGCCAAUUCUGCGGCGUGAUGGAGGAGUUCCACAAGGAGAUGCGCGCGCUGGCAGACAAGCUGAUGGAGCUGUUCCUGGUAGCGCUCGGGCUCACCGGCCCGCAGAUCGCCGGCGUCGAGGCGGAGCACAAACUCACCGAGACCAUGAGCGAGACAAUACACCUCAACUGGUACGUAGUACAAAUGGCAACACUCCCAGCGGCUACUCGUGUCUCCACGUGUUUGACGUGUACUCUAUUGCAUGCAUGCAGGUACCCUAAAUGCCCUGAUCCGAAGCGAGCGCUGGGCAUGAAAGCCCACACGGACUCGGGGUUCUUCGCUCUCCUGAUGCAGAGCCAGGUCCCGGGGCUGCACCUGUUCCGGCACGGGCCGCCGGCUGACAGGUGGGUGGAGGUGCCGGCCGUGCCCGGAGCGCUCGUCGUCAACAUCGGCGACCUCUUCCAGAUCCUCACCAACGGCCGCUUCCGGAGCGUUUACCACCGCGCCGUCGUCAACCGUGACAGGGAGCGCAUUUCGCUGGCCUACUUCCUCGGCCCGGCCGCCAACGCCAAAGUAGGGCCGCUUAAGGAAGUCGUGGGCGGUGGCAGGCCCGCCUACCGCGCCCUCACCUGGCCGGAGUACAUCAUCGUGCGCAAGGAGGCCUUUGCCAACGGCGGCGCCGAUCUCGAGUUCACCAAAGGGGGCACCGCCCUCGAGAUGGUCUCCAUCAACCCCGACGACGACGAUGGCAUGGAUGACCAGGGUGACAUCUCCUCGUAG